GCGGCGGCGGCGGCGGGAGCGCAGGCGGGCCCCGCCGUCCCCCGUCACCCUCCAGGAGCAGGUGAGCCACUGACUAACGCACAUUGUGCUCUCGGCGACUCCACUGUGCGUGUGACAGCGGCUAACCUGCUCCUCGGACAUCACUGUGCGGCCGCCUCGCUUCCCCGGACCCACGUCUCGAAGCCUCGACGCCCUCCUGCCCUCUGGGCCAGCCAGGUGAGGGGCUCCGGCGUGCCAAGGAGUCUGCUCCCCAUCCAUCGGCACUGUCCUGCCUCCAGCGCUUCUCCGUCCUCGGCCCUGCGGACCCCCCAUGCGCUGCCGGGAGCGCUCCAGCAUCGGCCGCACUUGCACGGGGAGCGCCAGAAGAUUCCUGCAGCGGGGCUCGGUGUGUCCGGCGGCAGCGGAGACGGAGGGAACGGGCCUUGUCGGCAUGUGGGUGCCAAUAGUUGGUGGUAAAGUUGUUCAGGAGGGAUGGCGUGCCCCCGUCUCUGCUCCCUUGCUCUUCUCCAAAGUAAAUAAGUGCUAGCGGACUCCGUACCAAGUUAGAGACGCAUCAUCCCGGCCGGUGACGUCUUGAGAGCCGGUCAGUGACUAACUGAACUGCUAUUGCCAAGGGUGUGUUAGUAGAAGAAACUCUGCCUAGUAUUGCCCUGGAUGAGUCACAGUUAAAGAGAGACUCUAGUCUGUUAAAGGAAAAGCAGAAACGAGCCUCACUUUCCUUUUUUGUUGCUUUUUUUUUCCAUCCCCCCCCCUCACCUUUGCUCACUGGUUUUUUCCUCUUGUGCCAGGGCUCUAUUGGCCCCCCGGCCCUGGCUGGGCAUUUGCAGAGCUGCCUUGUCUGAUGUGCUGUGAUGUCACGUAGGGGACUCUGACUUCAUGGCCCUGAGGAACAGGAAGGCGAACCAGGCAGGGACUUUUUCAGCCACCCAGGGUGGCUGUCACCAAAAACGGAGGAAGUGACAAAGCAGAUGGUUUCUCCUACAAAGUUAUUUUUUGGCUGGUGAAGAAGCUGGGUAGUUGAAAAGUGUAUUUUCUGAAGAGCAGCACAGCUUCAUUUUCAGCUGAAGUUCCUAAUAACCAGCUAGGAUUCACUGAAAGGGCUCAGUUAUUCCCCUGCUCCUGGGGCUGCUCUCAUGUAGUCCUAGGCUGUUGUAAAGGGUUGAUAUGAAGGGAUUGCCAGUGCUCUGGUCAAUAAAUAGUUAAUUGCACAAAAGGCAGAGCAAGGUCCUUUGUUGGUAAAGUGUAUCUCUGAGAAAUUUUGCCUGUCCCUAUCUCUCCUUCAUUCUCUUGUCAUUACUGCCUCUGGCUCCCCAGAGAAACAUCUGCUCUUAGGAAAACUCCCUCUGUGCCGUGUGUUUCCGUAGUGCUCAAACACCCUGGGAAGAUGGAAAAACCAACUGAAUUUACCCAAGAUGCUUUCAUGUUUGUUCAGAAGCCAAAUGGGCCUUUUUUUUCAUGGGGGGCAGAGUUGGGUUCUCAGCCUCAGAUUGCUUUUUUCUUCCCUAGCUGCACCUACAGCAUCUUCCCACUGCUGAUCCCGAGCAGGCAGGAGCACAGAGUAGCCACUCAGAGAAAGGGAGAGAGGGAGGGAAACCUGGUGCAAAAUCCAUCCUUGUACGAGCGUGUCUGGGAGCUGAAACUGAAGGCCACAGUCCCCUGCCACCCCAUUUUAUGGGUGACCAUGCAUGUAACAAACCUGUGUCUGAAAAUGAAGGUGCUUUGUUUCUCUUUGAAUACACAGCUCUGCGUUUGGGACUGUGCUGGCUGAUGACUUGCCCCUGGGAGAUGCCGCUGGCAGAAGCAGCUCUGCAGGUUGCCUGGCAAGACCUGUCCCAGUUCCCAUGAGCAACACUAUGGUAUGAAUGCUUCCGGCUUCCUGCUACCAAUGGAACCAUCCUGUUCAGCUCCAGUAAGCAAAGGGAAGGGGUUGAAGUUUUCUUGGUUUUGCUCUUUUUGUGUGUGUCUCCAGUAAAUGGGGGGAGCAUCCAGCUCAAUUCCUGUUUUUAACAUUCUUCUGGCAUGAUUCAAAAAAUACCUGCUGUGCUGUCACCUCAAGUCUCCAAUAAAUGUGCAAAACCA
Long non-coding RNA from Catharus ustulatus (Swainson's thrush), 2079 nucleotides. RefSeq lists it as uncharacterized. The record is from RefSeq and is a predicted model, not a curated record. Lineage: Eukaryota; Metazoa; Chordata; Aves; Passeriformes; Turdidae. The transcript has 2 exons.